UACGUAGGGUGCGAGCGUUAAUCGGAAUUACUGGGCGUAAAGCGUGCGUAGGCGGUCCGCGAAGUCUGAUGUGAAAGCCCCGGGCUCAACCUGGGAACUGCAUUGGAAACUAACGGGCUCGAGUGUGGCAGAGGGGGGUGGAAUUCCAAGUGUAGCAGUGAAAUGCGUAGAGAUGUGGAGGAACACCGGUGGCGAAGGCAGCCCCCUGGGCUAACACUGACGCUCAGGCACGAAAGCGUGGGGAGCAAACAGG
This 253-nucleotide ribosomal RNA is filed under the name uncultured bacterium. RNAcentral's name for it is "partial 16S ribosomal RNA". It matches the Rfam family "Bacterial small subunit ribosomal RNA", at positions 524 to 776 of the family's 1533-position model. The record is from RNAcentral.